AUACGGAGGGUGCAAGCGUUGUUCGGAAUCACUGGGCGUAAAGGGCGCGCAGGCGGUUUGGUAAGUCAGAUGUGAAAGCCCACGGCUCAACCGUGGAAGUGCAUUUGAAACUGUCAGACUUGGGUACUAGAGGGGAAAGUGGAAUUCCCGGUGUAGAGGUGAAAUUCGUAGAUAUCGGGAGGAAUACCGGUGGCGAAGGCGACUUUCUGGCUAGAUACUGACGCUGAGGCGCGAAAGCGUGGGGAGCAAACAGGAUUAGAAACCCGGGUAGUCC
This 274-nucleotide ribosomal RNA is filed under the name uncultured bacterium. RNAcentral's name for it is "partial 16S ribosomal RNA". It matches the Rfam family "Bacterial small subunit ribosomal RNA", at positions 523 to 796 of the family's 1533-position model. The record is from RNAcentral.